GACGAACGCUGGCGGCGUGCUUAACACAUGCAAGUCGAACGGAAAGGCCCUGCUUUUGUGGGGUGCUCGAGUGGCGAACGAGUGAGUAACACGUGAGUAACCUGCCCUUGACUUUGGGAUAACUUCAGGAAACUGGGGCUAAUACCGGAUAGGAGCUCCUGCUGCAUGGUGGGGGUUGGAAAGUUUCGGCGGUUGGGGAUGGACUCGCGGCUUAUCAGCUUGUUGGUGGGGUAGUGGCUUACCAAGGCUUUGACGGGUAGCCGGCCUGAGAGGGUGACCGGCCACAUUGGGACUGAGAUACGGCCCAGACUCCUACGGGAGGCAGCAGUGGGGAAUAUUGCACAAUGGGCGGAAGCCUGAUGCAGCAACGCCGCGUGCGGGAUGACGGCCUUCGGGUUGUAAACCGCUUUCGCCUGUGGCGAAGCGUGAGUGACGGUAAUGGGUAAAGAAGCACCGGCUAACUACGUG
Molecule: ribosomal RNA, 468 nt
Filed under: uncultured bacterium
Lineage: Bacteria
Description: partial 16S ribosomal RNA
Rfam family: Bacterial small subunit ribosomal RNA
Source: RNAcentral